AGGAGUCGAUAUUAAGAAUUAAACGAUGGACAGUCAGUGUGUGAAUUUUUCUUGCUACCUGAUUGGAAGAUAUUACGAGACGUGAAUAAUCAAAGUUUAUUGAUUGGUUAGGACAAUCCAAACCUAGUAAAUGUCCUUCAAUUCCGUAGAGUAUCGGAUUUGUCCUCUCUGUUUUAGCAAUUAGAUUUUGCCUGGUCAUUAAUCAUGCAUAUUCAUGAUGUUGGU
This 225-nucleotide long non-coding RNA is filed under the name Mytilus galloprovincialis (Mediterranean mussel). Lineage: Eukaryota; Metazoa; Mollusca; Bivalvia; Mytilida; Mytilidae. The record is from RNAcentral.